GCUAACGUCCUUAUCACGUUGAAUGCAGGCCAUCCCGUCCGAUCUGGCAAGUUAAGCAACGUAGAGUCCAGUUAGUAUUUGGAUCGGAGACGGCCUGGGAAUCCUGGACGUUGUAAGCU
Caenorhabditis remanei is the source of this 119-nucleotide non-coding RNA. NCBI's taxonomy places the organism in Eukaryota, Metazoa, Nematoda, Chromadorea, Rhabditida, Rhabditidae. The record is from Rfam.